RNAcentral lists this long non-coding RNA (943 nucleotides) under Sinocyclocheilus grahami. RNAcentral's name for it is "lncRNA (ENSSGRG00000024279.1)". Lineage: Eukaryota; Metazoa; Chordata; Actinopteri; Cypriniformes; Cyprinidae. The record is from RNAcentral.
UGCGUGAGAAGAGAAAUAUAGACAUGAAAUGAAAGAGAUGUAUAAUGCCUGAGAGGUGGAUUAGUUUGAGAGGGUGUUCCUCAUCCAAUGCUUGGGGGGGUGGGGGGGGUUGUAAAAAUGCUAAACACCACAGCCUAUAAGUACGCACACCUCUGAUGCACACACAGUGCCUGACUGACAUCAAACACGAAAACAUGAACUUCAUGAAGGGAGCAGAUGGGCAGGUGGACAAGAUUAUCGAUCAGGCUGCUGAGGUGGCCAAAGAGAAAGUUGGAGGAAUAAUCGGAGGAGACAAGAAAAAGGCAGGAGGUGCAAAAAGCCAGAAAGAGGGUGGAGGUGUUGGAGAUAUGUUGAGCGGCGCAAUCGGCAAAGCUGCUACAGACGCUGCAGCAAAAAGUGCCGCUGAUCAGGCUAUGGACAUUGGGAAGAGCCUGUUCAAGUGAGCCUGCUUACUUUGAACAUGAUCACACUUUCUCCCUCAUCACUGGAUUCUAAUUGGACCACACAAUCUUGCAGUUUUAAAACUUUAUAUGGCAGCACUGAAUGUUUCUCCAGAGGCUGUACGUUUUAUGUCGUCUUGAAAGAGGCAAUGCCUAUAUUUCUGUACCUUUUGAGAUUUUUAAAUUUAGAAAAUCAUUUCCGAAUGCAUUUCUAUUAUAAUUAUUAUUUAAACAAAACCAAUAAAAUUGAUGCUUAACAUGGAAAUAAAGAAAUAAAGAGCUGUUGCUCAGUGAGAGAUUGAGUUAUCUUACAAGUCAAAGUUGUUGUUUUUUUGGCUAAUGUUUGAAAUGAUUUCUGUGAUCUUGUCAAACAUGAUGUCAUGUUUUAAGAUAAGACAAACCGGCUUAUAACACAAAACAUCACAGAAUUAAUAAAAUUCAUUACUAAUACUUACUGGUGUUUGUGCUGUUGUUAUCCGACCAAAAUGGUGUCACUUCUGAGG